GCCCCAGUAGCUCAGUGGAUAGAGCAACCCCCUCCUAAGGGGUAGGUCGGACGUU
Molecule: transfer RNA, 55 nt
Filed under: Rhodocyclaceae bacterium
Lineage: Bacteria; Pseudomonadati; Pseudomonadota; Betaproteobacteria; Rhodocyclales; Rhodocyclaceae
Description: tRNA-Arg
Rfam family: tRNA
About the family: Transfer RNA (tRNA) molecules are approximately 80 nucleotides in length. Their secondary structure includes four short double-helical elements and three loops (D, anti-codon, and T loops).
Source: RNAcentral